AAGCAUAUCACUGAGCGCAGGAGAAGAAACUAACCAGGAUUUCCCUAGUAACGGCGAGCGAACCGGAAAGAGCCCAGCUUGAAAAUCGUGGCGCCCCGGCGCCUCGAAUUGUAGUCUGGAGAAGGUCCCUCUGCGGCGCGCCGGAUUCAAGUUCCCUGGAAUGGGACGUCCGAGAGGGUGAGAACCCCGUCGUAUCCGGAGUGCGUCGCUCCACGAGGACCUGUCUGCGAGUCGGGCUGUUUGGGAAUGCAGCCCUAAGCGGGUGGUAAAUUCCAUCCAAGGCUAAAUAUUGGCAAGAGACCGAUAGCGAACAAGUACCGCGAGGGAAAGAUGAAAAGGACUUUGAAAAGAGAGUUAAAAAGUGCUUGAAAUUGCUGGGAGGGAAGCGAAUGGAAGCUGCGGGUGCGCCCCGGUUGGAUGUGGAACGGCCGUCAAACGCUGGUCCGCCGCUCAACGCGGGGCGCUGGUCAGCGUGGGCCGUCGCGGCGGGACAAGAGCGGGGAUUCGCUUCCCGCCGAUGCCGCCGCGGUGGCCGAGGAACGAAGCGCGCGCCUUCCGGCGUGGGACUCGUCCCAACUGCGCGCUCGAGACGCUGGCGUAUUGAGCUCUUCAUCCGACCCGUCUUGAAACACGGACCAAGGAGUCUAACAUGUAUGCGAGCCGGUGGGCGGCAAACCCAUUGAGGCGCAAGUAACCUGACAGGUGGGACCCCGACCGCAAGGGAGGGAGCACCAUCGACCGACCGUGAUCUUCUGUGAAGGGUUC
RNAcentral lists this ribosomal RNA (765 nucleotides) under Orthotrichum tenellum. RNAcentral's name for it is "partial 26S ribosomal RNA". It matches the Rfam family "Eukaryotic large subunit ribosomal RNA", at positions 36 to 791 of the family's 3401-position model. Lineage: Eukaryota; Viridiplantae; Streptophyta; Bryopsida; Orthotrichales; Orthotrichaceae. The record is from RNAcentral.